Molecule: ribosomal RNA, 133 nt
Filed under: uncultured bacterium
Lineage: Bacteria
Description: partial 16S ribosomal RNA
Rfam family: Bacterial small subunit ribosomal RNA
Source: RNAcentral
CGUUCCCGGGCCUUGUACACACCGCCCGUCACACCAUGGGAGUUGGUUUUACCCGAAGACGGUACGCUAACCGCAAGGAGGCAGCCGGCCACGGUAAGGUCAGCGACUGGGGUGAAGUCGUAACAAAGGUACC